GAUCCUGGCUUAGGAUGAACGCUGGCGGCGUGCCUAACACAUGCAAGUCGAGCGAUCUCUCGGAAGAGAGCGGCGGACGGGUGAGUAACGCGUGGGUAACCUGCCCUGUACACACGGAUAACAUACCGAAAGGUAUGCUAAUACGGGAUAACAUACUUUUAUCGCAUGGUAGAAGUAUCAAAGCUCCGGCGGUACAGGAUGGACCCGCGUCUGAUUAGCUAGUUGGUAAGGUAACGGCUUACCAAGGCGACGAUCAGUAGCCGACCUGAGAGGGUGAUCGGCCACAUUGGAACUGAGACACGGUCCAAACUCCUACGGGAGGCAGCAGUGGGGAAUAUUGCACAAUGGGCGAAAGCCUGAUGCAAGCAACGCCGCGUGAGCGAUGAAGGCCUUCGGGUCGUAAAGCUCUGUCCUCAAGGAAGAUAAUGACGGUACUUGAGGAGGAAGCCCCGGCUAACUACGUGCCAGCAGCCGC
This 475-nucleotide ribosomal RNA is filed under the name uncultured bacterium. RNAcentral describes it as "bacterial SSU rRNA". It matches the Rfam family "Bacterial small subunit ribosomal RNA", at positions 15 to 518 of the family's 1533-position model. The record is from RNAcentral.